CUUCAUUGGAGCUAUUUGAAGAUUUUUGAAAAGCUACAAAGGCGCGGAUGACCGACUAGGAAGGAUGGCGGUUUUGAGCGCAGGGCACGUCUGGCUAUAUGGGGUUCUGACAGGUGAGGGCAGACAUCCCCAAUAAUUGGCGAGUGGCGCCUCCAUCUGCAAGUCUGUUCCCCUCUAGUAACAAGUCGCAGGCUACAACCUUGAAUGGUCUUCACGUACAGCUCUGGUGGUUACGCUCCCGUACCCAUGCGCAUCGUUGGAUCCUAAUGCACCCAGGAAAUCUAGACGGAGUGGGUCUCAUGCUGAGCCCGUUCAUUUCAUUGUGGACUUAAGGUCAAAUCGAGAAUCGAGAUGGUUCGGGAUGAACCGUUAAGGUUCUCAGCCGAAAGAGGUCGGCACCUGGUGACCCAAGCCGGCCUCCGGCCAACCAAUGGUCGGCACCAACCAGACCUCGGCGUUGAGCAGUCGUGUCGCCUAGCUGGAUCUCACCUACUAUAACAACUACCAUAAGAAAAUUCUGGUAUUACUAGACAGACGAGUACUUCCAAGCCACUAAUUAAUGCUAUGUUUGAAAAGUAAAAUUUUUCAAUAAAAUUUUGAU
Long non-coding RNA from Momordica charantia (bitter melon), 601 nucleotides. RefSeq lists it as uncharacterized. The record is from RefSeq and is a predicted model, not a curated record. Lineage: Eukaryota; Viridiplantae; Streptophyta; Magnoliopsida; Cucurbitales; Cucurbitaceae.